GAUGAACGCUGGCGGCGUGCCUAAUACAUGCAAGUCGAGCGAACAGACGAGGAGCUUGCUCCUCUGACGUUAGCGGCGGACGGGUGAGUAACACGUGGAUAACCUACCUAUAAUACUGGGAUAACUUCGGGAAACCGGAGCUAAUACCGGAUAAUCUCUUGAACCGCAUUGUUCAAUAGUGAAAGACGGUUUUGCUGUCACUUAUAGAUGGAUCCGCGCCGCAUUAGCUAGUUGGUAAGGUAACGGCUUACCAAGGCAACGAUGCGUAGCCGACCUGAGAGGGUGAGCGGCCACACUGGAACUGAGACACGGUCCAGACUCCUACGGGAGGCAGCAGUAGGGAAUCUUCCGCAAGGGGCGAAAGCUUGACGGAGCAACGCAGCGUGAGUGAUGAAGGUCUUCGGAUCGUAAAACUCUGUUAUUAGGGAAGAACAAAUGUGUAAGUAACUAUGCACGUCUUGACGGUACCUAAUCAGAAAGCCACGGCUAACUACGUG
This 497-nucleotide ribosomal RNA is filed under the name uncultured bacterium. RNAcentral describes it as "partial 16S ribosomal RNA". It matches the Rfam family "Bacterial small subunit ribosomal RNA", at positions 28 to 507 of the family's 1533-position model. The record is from RNAcentral.